GGAAUCGCCCAGCUGUCCCCUCAGACGGCAGCCCGUGGCCGUCCCCUUCGCCGUGGGAUGCGGGGAUUUGGGGCGGCUGAAGGAGUCGGGGCCCCACCACCACAGCGCUGCUGCCCCCAUUAGGGCCUGGAACUCUGAGCCUCCAGCUCUGCUCACGGUGCCCCCCAAGGCUGAGGUUGCAGUCUGCAGUCUGCUGAUCCGAAAGAAAGAAGGCGGCUUUUGGAGGACUUAAUCAUGGCGAGUCGAGCUGCUGCUGAACCUCCCCUUCCAACAUCCAGCAGGUUUGUUCUGCAGGCCCCAAUGAUGGCACAGGCAUGAAAGAGCCCAGAGCUCAUCGCUGGGGAGAGGCUGCGUAUGGCGUUGUGAAGGGAGAGAUGGAGGAGGGGUUUGAGCAGCGCUGUGCAGGAAUGAACGGCUGGUAAGAGAAGAGCUGACUUGGAUUUCUUCUGCCACUGUCCCGUGAAGGUGUUGAUUUGCUUCAGUCCAUCCCUGCUCCGUUCCUGGCUCUGGUAUCCCUUGUGGCCACAGAGCACUGCAGCAGCAAAGCUCCAGUCCCUUCCCCGGUCUCAGUGGGAAUUGAGGUUUCUGCUGCGUUUGUGGCUUCCUGCUGGGGAACUCCUCAUCUUCUUCUGCGACUGCCCCCCAACGUCACUACUGCCUCCUCUGGUGCCGUACUGGCAGAUGCCUCAGCGUUCAUGAGCCUGGACUUCCUGCCUCCCAUCAGCAGCUGCUCCUUCAUUCAGACUGCAAUACCGUCCACUUCCAGCACCAGCAGAGCUGCAAGGCAGAGAUGGGAAACGUGGGAUGAAUGCAAACGCAGAAGCCCAAGGCUGUCCCACCACCACGUAUUGCAGCCUUGGAAGGUCAGCUGCAACUACAACCUCUGUCAGAAUCAAAACGGGCACCGUACAUUAAGGGUGACCUCUGAACUGAAGGAAUUACCACAGUCGGAAAUACAUACUGAAAUUGCUUAUUUAUCUGUAGGUGGUUACGGCUGUAUUCUUUGGCUUUGGGGAAAAUGUGGACUUGGAAUUGAAGGAUACAAGGAAAAGGAGCAGCACUUGGCAACUCCUGCAAACUGAGCAGUGCGGGGAAGAUUGUGUCAUUUCUUCUCCUGGCCUCUCAUUGGUCAGAUGCAACUCUGUGUCACCCCUCUGGACUCUCAUUGGUCAGCGGCAGCUCCAUCCUAUCCCCACAGCCCUCUUAUAUAUCAUUCUUUGCUUCUUGGAGCCCCUUCCUGCUGCUGCCGCUGCUUUGGGGGAGGGUCCGCUCUGCUCCCAGCUCAACGCCGGCCCGUGCCGACCUCUGAUUGGUCAGCGAGAGCUCGGUCCCACUCCUGGUGGACUCUACAUGGUCAGCAGCAGCUCCAACCCGCCCCUGUUAGCCUCUCAUUGGUCAGAUGCAGCUCCAUCCCUCCCCCUGUUGUUUCUCAUUAGUCAGCAGCAGCUCCGUCCCACUCCCAUCCAGCCUCUCAUUGGUUAGCGGCAGCUCUGACCCAUGCCGGCCUCUGAUUGGUCAGCAGCAGCUCUGACCCACCCCCGGUGGCCUCUCAUUGGUGAUCGGCAGCUCCAGCCUGCUCCUGCUGGCUCUCAUUGGUCAGCAGCAGCUCUGAUCCACCCCCGGUGGCCUCUCAUUGGUGAUCGGCAGCUCCAUCCCGUCCCUUCUGGCCUCUCAUUGGUCAAUGGCAUUUCUGGCCCUCCUCCAGUCUCUGAUUGGUGAGCGGAAGCACUGCCUUCUCCAAUUGACUGAGGGGCAGAGCGCGCCGUUGGCAACCGGCUUGGAAUCGCCCAGCUGUCCCCUCAGACGGCAGCCCGUGGCCGUCCCCUUCGCCGUGGGAUGCGGGGAUUUGGGGCGGCUGAAGGAGUCGGGGCCCCCACCGCUGUAGCGCUGCUGCCCGCAAUGGGGCCUGGAACCCCGAGCAUCCAGCUCUGCUCGCAGUGCCCCCCAAGGCUGAGCUGACUUGGGUUUCUUCUGCCACUGUCCCAUGAAAGAGUUGAUUUGCUUCAGUCCAUCCCUGCUCCGUUCCUGGUUCAAGCCAAGCUCCAGUCCCUUCCCUGGUCUCCGUGGGAUCGGUUUGUUCUGUUCUCAUGCACUUACAGAAACAGAAGCUACGCACCCACCAAACCCUGGGACAGGUAUUUCCCUACAGAAGCAUUCAUGUCCUUCUCCUGGCCCCUUUGGCCAGUUCCCAGCUCUCCAAACUGAGGCAUACGGCUGCAGCCCUCCCCAUGGCUUCUUUGGGGCAGCUGUGGGGCAGCCCCACCCCGAGGAGGAGAUGCCUUUUCCCCACACGCAGCUGGUUCUACGGACACAUGGGGUGAGGACGUGGGGUUGUGGGUCACAUGGGGGUCCUGCAGGGUCACAGAGUUACAAGGUGAUGUGGGGCUAUGGGGUCAGGUGGGGUUCUGAGUCACAGUGAUGGGGUCAGAUGGUAGGGACAGGGAGUUACGGAUCACAUGGGUUGUAUGUUUGGGUGAGGUGGGGGCAGGGAUCCCAGAGUUAUGGGGCCACAUGGCAUUGGGUCACAGCGUGAUGGGUGCAGGCAGAGUCAGGGCGUCACAGGGUCAUGUGGGGGUAUGGUUCCCCCAGAGCUGUGGGUUGCGUGCAGCCAUGGGGUCACGCACAUACAGCGUGAUGAGGUCAUCUUGGGUUAUUGCUCAUGUGGGGUUACGGCUCAGGGCCCCACGUUUGGGCCACAGGGACGCCCAGUCCCCUCUCAGGAUGAAUUGAAACCACUACAACCCACCCCCCCCUCACCCCCCCCGCUCUUUUUACCUCAAAUUGCUCCCCACAUCCUCCCAUACCCCCUAUGUCUCCAUACUACGCCAUGUACCUGUUUCCCACCUGCAGCCCACAUCUUGACUUCUCUUGGACAGCAUUCUGCUCCUGCAGCCUGUGUUCCCAUAUCCCCCGAUGUCCCUAUAUCCCUCCCACACCCCACACAGAGCCCCAUAGCUCCUCAAGGACCUUUUCCCGGUACACCUCCCCCCAGCAACCUGGGACCUCACAGAGCCCCACAGUCCCCAGCAGCACCCCACGUCCCCCUCUGAGCUCCCACUGAACUCCCCUAUUUCCUC
Molecule: long non-coding RNA, 3077 nt
Organism: Gallus gallus (chicken)
Lineage: Eukaryota; Metazoa; Chordata; Aves; Galliformes; Phasianidae
Exons: 6
Source: RefSeq, a predicted model, not a curated record